This 228-nucleotide ribosomal RNA is filed under the name Odontella aurita. Its description in RNAcentral is "partial Bacterial small subunit ribosomal RNA". It matches the Rfam family "Bacterial small subunit ribosomal RNA", at positions 1172 to 1398 of the family's 1533-position model. Lineage: Eukaryota; Bacillariophyta; Thalassiosirophyceae; Eupodiscales; Odontellaceae. The record is from RNAcentral.
GGUGGGGAUGACGUCAAAUCAUCAUGCCCCUUAUGUCUUGGGCUUCACGCAUGCUACAAUGGCCGGUACAGAGGGUUGCGAUGCCGUGAGGCGGGGCGAAUCCCUUAAAGCCGGUCUCAGUUCGGAUCGGUGUCUGCAACUCGACACCGUGAAGUCGGAGUCGCUAGUAAUCGCAGAUCAGCAUUGCUGCGGUGAAUACGUUCUCGGGCCUUGUACACACCGCCCGUC